Molecule: ribosomal RNA, 1027 nt
Filed under: Raffaelea albimanens
Lineage: Eukaryota; Fungi; Ascomycota; Sordariomycetes; Ophiostomatales; Ophiostomataceae
Description: SSU rRNA
Rfam family: Eukaryotic small subunit ribosomal RNA
Source: RNAcentral
GUACUGCGAAACUGCGAAUGGCUCAUUAAAUCAGUUAUCGUCUAUUUGAUAGUACCUUACUACUUGGAUAACCGUGGUAAUUCUAGAGCUAAUACAUGCUGAAAACCCCGACUUCGGAAGGGAUGUAUUUAUUAGAUUAAAAACCAAUGCCCUCCGGGGCUCACUGGUGAUUCAUGAUAACUUCUCGAAUCGCACGGCCUUGCGCCGGCGAUGGUUCAUUCAAAUUUCUGCCCUAUCAACUUUCGACGGCUGGGUCUUGGCCAGCCGUGGUGACAACGGGUAACGGAGGGUUAGGGCUCGACCCCGGAGAAGGAGCCUGAGAAACGGCUACUACAUCCAAGGAAGGCAGCAGGCGCGCAAAUUACCCAAUCCCGACACGGGGAGGUAGUGACAAUAAAUACUGAUACAGGGCUCUUUUGGGUCUUGUAAUUGGAAUGAGUACAAUUUAAUUCCCUUAACGAGGAACAAUUGGAGGGCAAGUCUGGUGCCAGCAGCCGCGGUAAUUCCAGCUCCAAUAGCGUAUAUUAAAGUUGUUGCAGUUAAAAAGCUCGUAGUUGAACCUUGGGCCUGGCUGGCCGGUCCGCCUCACCGCGUGCACUGGUCCGGCCGGGCCUUUCCCUCUGGGGAGCCGCAUGCCCUUCACUGGGCGUGUCGGGGAACCAGGACGUUUACUUUGAAAAAAUUAGAGUGUUCAAAGCAGGCUUAUGCUCGGAUACAUUAGCAUGGAAUAAUGGAAUAGGACGUGCGGUUCUAUUUUGUUGGUUUCUAGGACCGCCGUAAUGAUUAAUAGGGACAGUCGGGGGCAUCAGUAUUCAGCUGUCAGAGGUGAAAUUCUUGGAUUUGCUGAAGACUAACUACUGCGAAAGCAUUUGCCAAGGAUGUUUUCAUUAAUCAGGAACGAAAGUUAGGGGAUCGAAGACGAUCAGAUACCGUCGUAGUCUUAACCAUAAACUAUGCCGACUAGGGAUCGGACGGUGUUAUUCUUUGACCCGUUCGGCACCUUACACGAAAGUACAAGUUUCUGGGC